GAACAAGAAGGCUUAAACAUAUAGA
This 25-nucleotide non-coding RNA is filed under the name Cricetulus griseus (Chinese hamster). Lineage: Eukaryota; Metazoa; Chordata; Mammalia; Rodentia; Cricetidae. The record is from RNAcentral.